RNAcentral lists this ribosomal RNA (254 nucleotides) under uncultured bacterium. RNAcentral describes it as "partial 16S ribosomal RNA". It matches the Rfam family "Bacterial small subunit ribosomal RNA", at positions 524 to 776 of the family's 1533-position model. The record is from RNAcentral.
UACAGAGGGUGCUAGCGUUGUUCGGAAUCAUUGGGCGUAAAGGGCGCGUAGGCGGUCGUGACAAGUCACUUGUGAAAUCUCCGGGCUUAACUCGGAACGGUCAAGUGAUACUGUCGGACUAGAGUACAGAAGGGGCAACUGGAAUUCUCGGUGUAGCGGUGAAAUGCGUAGAUAUCGAGAGGAACACCUGCGGCGAAGGCGGGUUGCUGGGCUGAUACUGACGCUGAGGCGCGAAAGCCAGGGGAGCGAACGGG